GACGCUGGCGGCGUGCCUAAACAUGCAAGUCGAGCGGACAGAAGGGAGCUUGCUCCCGGAUGUUAGCGGCGGACGGGUAGAGUAACACAGUAGGAGUAACCUAGCGCUAGUNAAGUACUAGGGGUAUUAAACCU
Molecule: ribosomal RNA, 134 nt
Filed under: Bacillus sp. R13
Lineage: Bacteria; Bacillati; Bacillota; Bacilli; Caryophanales; Bacillaceae
Description: partial 16S ribosomal RNA
Source: RNAcentral